Molecule: ribosomal RNA, 253 nt
Filed under: uncultured bacterium
Lineage: Bacteria
Description: partial 16S ribosomal RNA
Rfam family: Bacterial small subunit ribosomal RNA
Source: RNAcentral
UACGAAGGGGGCUAGCGUUGUUCGGAAUUACUGGUCGUAAAGCGAACGUAGGCGGUGUUCCAUGUCAGAGGUGAGAGCCUGGGGCUCAACUCCAGAAUUGCCUUUGAAACGGGGACGCUUGAGUCCGAGAGAGGAUGGCGGAAUUCCUAGUGUAGAGGUGAAAUUCGUAGAUAUUAGGAAGAACACCGGUGGCGAAGGCGGCCAUCUGGCUCGGUACUGACGCUCAGGUUCGAAAGCGUGGGGAGCAAACAGG